GCACAAUACAUACAUGGAGAGAUAGCUAAGGGCCAAUGGAUGGAGUCAUGGAGGCACAGGGAGCUGUGCAUGUAUUUAAACAGUCUCUCUUCUUUUCCCAUCUGGUUUGGUAGCAAAUAAGCAGUACAUUCUUCAGUUUUAAAAUGAUCUCUAUGCUGGUACGGCAAAAAUGAGUACAACGGGUCAAAAUGGAAUGCAGGAAUGGUAUAUUUUUUAUGCCGAGGCAUUUUCUGUAUGGCUUUCUGCGCUUCCCAGUUUGCGGGGCAAGAAAUUAAUAUUGUAAGGGAUUUGUAUAUAUGGAUUUUAUAUUGGUGAAGCAAUGCAAAUAAUAAACUAGCCAAGGACUGUGGGAUACUCUGCUUGAUUAUAAGUUUCAACAAUCACUUUCCAAAGGGUUCUGUUUCAAAAGCUCAAACAUUUCCCUUCACCUUGUGGAUCUGAUAAUAGCAUUUCCUUGUUUUUCAGCUGGAUGAUAAGGUUCUGCGUGAAGUCUACCAAGAUUCUGGACCAGAGGACUUGACUUUGGAGAUGGAAGAGAUAUAUAUUUAGCAGAAGAGCUGAAGCAUAACAAGGGCUAUU
This 579-nucleotide unclassified non-coding RNA is filed under the name Hevea brasiliensis (rubber tree). Lineage: Eukaryota; Viridiplantae; Streptophyta; Magnoliopsida; Malpighiales; Euphorbiaceae. The record is from RNAcentral.